This 83-nucleotide transfer RNA is filed under the name Candidatus Woesearchaeota archaeon. Its description in RNAcentral is "tRNA-Ser". It matches the Rfam family "tRNA". Rfam says of the family: Transfer RNA (tRNA) molecules are approximately 80 nucleotides in length. Their secondary structure includes four short double-helical elements and three loops (D, anti-codon, and T loops). The record is from RNAcentral. Lineage: Archaea; Nanobdellati; Candidatus Woesearchaeota.
GCCGAGGUGGCACAGUCUGGUACUGCGCAGGAUUGCUAAUCCUGUUUCCUUUGGAUUCCCGGGUUCAAAUCCCGGCCUCGGCG